Molecule: ribosomal RNA, 530 nt
Filed under: uncultured bacterium
Lineage: Bacteria
Description: bacterial SSU rRNA
Rfam family: Bacterial small subunit ribosomal RNA
Source: RNAcentral
UGGGGAAUAUUGCACAAUGGGCGGAAGCCUGAUGCAGCGACGCCGCGUGGGGGAUGAAGGCCUUCGGGUUGUAAACUCCUUUCGACAGGGACGAAGCGUAAGUGACGGUACCUGUAUAAGAAGCACCGGCUAACUACGUGCCAGCAGCCGCGGUAAUACGUAGGGUGCGAGCGUUGUCCGGAAUUACUGGGCGUAAAGAGCUCGUAGGUGGUUUGUCGCGUCGUCUGUGAAAUUCCGGGGCUUAAUUCCGGGCGUGCAGGCGAUACGGGCUGACUUGAGUGCUGUAGGGGAGACUGGAAUUCCUGGUGUAGCGGUGAAAUGCGCAGAUAUCAGGAGGAACACCGAUGGCGAAGGCAGGUCUCUGGGCAGUAACUGACGCUGAGGAGCGAAAGCAUGGGUAGCGAACAGGAUUAGAUACCCUGGUAGUCCAUGCCGUAAACGGUGGGCGCUAGGUGUAGGGGGCUUCCACGUCUUCUGUGCCGUAGCUAACGCAUUAAGCGCCCCGCCUGGGGAGUACGGCCGCAAGGCUA